CCCCCUCUACUGCCAGCUUUCCCUCCACAAUGUGCAGCCUUCAUAAACUGCCCUUCCUGAAACCAGAAGCCUGAACAAACCUCCACAGCAUUUCUCCGUUUCCCGUGGCCUGGGAAGAGAGUGGCCUACAGUCAGGGGGCUCCGCUUCAAGUUGUUUUAUCAUAUAUUUUGGUCACGUGACGAGAAAGGUAGUUCAUACUGCCACAUGCUCUGGUCACGCUCUGGGCCAUCUUCCCAGCAGCUUGGGUGGCAGCAACCAUCGGCCAUACAGAGCCCAGGAGGUUUCCAGCAGAAGGUGUGGCCCAGAUUAAAGAUACAAACCGCUACACCUGGAACUUGGACUUGCUUUGUCCCAGGCUGACCUUGAACUCAGAGAUCUCCUUGCCUCAGUCUCCUGGAAUUAAAGGUUGUUUUAAUUAAGGUGGGAAGACCCACUUGAAUGCAGGCAGAGGUUCCCAACAGAAGAAAAAGGAGAGAGUAAGCAGAGCACCAGCAUCCAUCUCUCAGCUUCCUGACUGUGGAUACAAUGUGACCAGCUGCCUCAUGCUUCUGCUGCCCUGCCUUCACUGCCAUGAUGGAAUGGACCCUCAAACUGUGAGCCAGAACCAGCCUUCCCUCUCCUAAGUUACCUGUGUCAGCCAGCUGCCACCUGUCCCACCUCUCUGGGUCUCACCACACUCACAACAAAGGGGUGACAAAUUGCAGCUGGCUGCCUGGGCACUGGAAAGAGCCAAUGAGGCGGUGUUGGUGGUCUGGAGACACCAGUGUUGGGACCCUGGAACUGGGCAGGGCAAGUUUCUCAAGCAUUUUGUUGCAACAAUCAGGAAGUAGGUACCCCAGGGUCCUGCCUGAGAUUGUGUGUCCACCACAGCCACCACAGCUGCCACGCCUCCGCAGGCUCUCCAGUCUGCAGUGGCUUUCCCAUUGCCUCUGGCUUGUAGUGAUUUUGACCAUUUUGGGGAGCACAGCCAAGGGGUUUAUGACAUGCUCCUACCACAGUGAGGAUUCCAGGAUAUUUAGGUCAUCAGACCUGAUGGCAAGUGUCUUUACCAGCUAAGUCAUCCCCUCAGCUGUGCCUCCCCAGCCCAUUGUGUGUGUGUGUGUGUGUGUGUGUGUGUGUGUGAGGGGGGGGGGUUGGUGUCUGUUCUGUGUGUCCCUGGCUGACCUCAACCUUACUAUGUACCCAAGGAUGACUCUGCCUCCACCUCUAAGGGAUGUAAUUUCAGGUUGUCUUAGAGUUACUAUUGCUGUGUUGAAACACCAUAACCAAAAAGCAAGUUGGGGAGGAAACAGUUUAUUUGGCUUACACUUCCACAUCACGGCUCAUCAUCAAAGGAUGCCAGCACAGGAACUCAAGCAGUGUAGAAACCUGGAGGUAGGAGAUGUUGCAGAGGCUACAGAGGCUACAUGUGUCUUCCCCAUGUCUUGCUCAGCCUGCUUUCUUAUAGAACCCAGGACCGCCAGCUCAGGGAUGCUCCCCACACACAAUGGGCUGGGCCAUCCCCUAUCAAUCACUAGCUAAGAAAACCCCUAUAGGGUUGCAUACCACUGGAUCUUAUGGAGAUAUUUUCUUAAUUGAAGUUC
Mus musculus (house mouse) is the source of this 1584-nucleotide long non-coding RNA. RefSeq annotates it as predicted gene, 36417. The record is from RefSeq and is a predicted model, not a curated record. NCBI's taxonomy places the organism in Eukaryota, Metazoa, Chordata, Mammalia, Rodentia, Muridae. The transcript has 3 exons.